RNAcentral lists this ribosomal RNA (871 nucleotides) under uncultured organism. RNAcentral describes it as "bacterial SSU rRNA". It matches the Rfam family "Bacterial small subunit ribosomal RNA", at positions 1 to 834 of the family's 1533-position model. The record is from RNAcentral.
GGCUUAGAGUUUGAUCAUGGCUCAGGACGAACGCUGGCGGCGUGCCUAAUACAUGCAAGUCGAGCGAGCUUGCCUAGAUGAUUUUAGUGCUUGCACUAAAUGAAACUAGAUACAAGCGAGCGGCGGACGGGUGAGUAACACGUGGGUAACCUGCCCAAGUGACUGGGAUAACACCUGGAAACAGAUGCUAAUACCGGAUAACAACACUAGACGCAUGUCUAGAGUUUGAAAGAUGGUUCUGCUAUCACUCUUGGAUGGACCUGCGGUGCAUUAGCUAGUUGGUAAGGUAACGGCUUACCAAGGCAAUGAUGCAUAGCCGAGUUGAGAGACUGAUCGGCCACAUUGGGACUGAGACACGGCCCAAACUCCUACGGGAGGCAGCAGUAGGGAAUCUUCCACAAUGGACGAAAGUCUGAUGGAGCAACGCCGCGUGAGUGAAGAAGGGUUUCGGCUCGUAAAGCUCUGUUGGUAGUGAAGAAAGAUAGAGGUAGUAACUGGCCUUUAUUUGACGGUAAUUACUUAGAAAGUCACGGCUAACUACGUGCCAGCAGCCGCGGUAAUACGUAGGUGGCAAGCGUUGUCCGGAUUUAUUGGGCGUAAAGCGAGUGCAGGCGGUUCAAUAAGUCUGAUGUGAAAGCCUUCGGCUCAACCGGAGAAUUGCAUCAGAAACUGUUGAACUUGAGUGCAGAAGAGGAGAGUGGAACUCCAUGUGUAGCGGUGGAAUGCGUAGAUAUAUGGAAGAACACCAGUGGCGAAGGCGGCUCUCUGGUCUGCAACUGACGCUGAGGCUCGAAAGCAUGGGUAGCGAACAGGAUUAGAUACCCUGGUAGUCCAUGCCGUAAACGAUGAGUGCUAAGUGUUGGGAGGUUUC